UUAAAUUCUUACAUGAUCUGAGUUCAAACCGGUGUAAGCCAGGUUGGUUUCUAUCUUUAAAAAAUUAUAAUAUUUUAGUACGAAAGGACCAAAUAUU
Molecule: ribosomal RNA, 97 nt
Filed under: Drosophila erecta
Lineage: Eukaryota; Metazoa; Arthropoda; Insecta; Diptera; Drosophilidae
Also listed under: 1 other name
Description: 16S ribosomal RNA
Source: RNAcentral